UAUUCUGCCCCAUGGGGAAGGAUGAGAAGCUUCGACUAAGGUUCGACUCGAGCGAAGCGAGAGAACGUUGCCGCAGGCAACGGCCCGAAGGGCGAGGCGCUUUA
RNAcentral lists this small RNA (104 nucleotides) under Klebsiella pneumoniae. RNAcentral's name for it is "partial RtT sRNA". It matches the Rfam family "RtT RNA", at positions 1 to 103 of the family's 130-position model. From Rfam's summary of the family: This family represents a bacterial cis-regulatory element known as RtT RNA. The exact function of RtT is unknown although it is thought that it may be involved in changing the cellular response in relation to amino acid starvation. The record is from RNAcentral. RNAcentral also lists the same sequence under 1 other name. Lineage: Bacteria; Pseudomonadati; Pseudomonadota; Gammaproteobacteria; Enterobacterales; Enterobacteriaceae.